This 395-nucleotide ribosomal RNA is filed under the name uncultured Gammaproteobacteria bacterium. Its description in RNAcentral is "bacterial SSU rRNA". It matches the Rfam family "Bacterial small subunit ribosomal RNA", at positions 338 to 725 of the family's 1533-position model. Lineage: Bacteria; Pseudomonadati; Pseudomonadota; Gammaproteobacteria. The record is from RNAcentral.
CCUACGGGAGGCAGCAGUGGGGAAUAUUGCACAAUGGGCGCAAGCCUGAUGCAGCCAUGCCGCGUGUACGAAGAAGGCCUUCGGGUUGUAAAGUACUUUCAGCAGUGAGGAAGGUGGUGUCGUUAAUAGCGGCAUCAUUUGACGUUAGCUGCAGAAGAAGCACCGGCUAACUCCGUGCCGGCAGCCGCGGUAAUACGGAGGGUGCGAGCGUUUAUCGGAAUUACUGGGCGUAAAGCGCAUGCAGGUGGUUUGUUAAGUCAGAUGUGAAAGCCCGGGGCUCAACCUCGGAAUUGCAUUUGAAACUGGCAGACUAGAGUACUGUAGAGGGGGGUAGAAUUUCAGGUGUAGCGGUGAAAUGCGUAGAGAUCUGAAGGAACACCAGUGGCGAAGGCGGC